RNAcentral lists this ribosomal RNA (1258 nucleotides) under human gut metagenome. RNAcentral describes it as "bacterial LSU rRNA". It matches the Rfam family "Bacterial large subunit ribosomal RNA", at positions 1188 to 2426 of the family's 2925-position model. The record is from RNAcentral.
UGGACACCGAAGCGGCGGGAUUUUAAUUCAUUAGAAUCGGUAGGGGAGCUUCCCAUGGGCGGAGAAGCCGGAGGGCGACCGACGGUGGAGCGCAUGGGAGUGAGAAUGCUGGCAUGAGUAGCGAGAGACGAGAGAGUAACUCGUCCGCCGUGAACCCGAGGUUUCCUGGGCAAGGCUAAUCCUCCCAGGGUCAGUCGGGGGCUAAGGCGAGGCCGGUAGGCGUAGCCGACGCGCAGCAGGCAGACAUUCCUGCACCGCGCACGCGGCGCUACGACCGACGGGGCGACGGAUGGGGGUGGCUCGGCGGGGUUCUGGACGUCCCCGUGAUGGAGCGCGGCCCGCGGACCAGGGAAAUCCGGUCCGCAGAAGGGCGAGGCUCCGGACGAAGCGACUGAGCGAAGCGAGUGAGCCCGAGGUCCCUAGAAAAACCCCUAGGCAGGCGCGUGCGCGCCCGUACCGCAAACCGACACAGGUGGGUGGGUAGAACAUACCGAGGCGAUCGGGUCAACCAUGGUCAAGGAACUCGGCACAAUGGCCCCGUAACUUCGGGAGAAGGGGUGCCCGCGCGUACGUGAACGGACUUGCUCCGGGAGCGGAGGCGGGCCGCAGUGGAGAGGCCCAAGCGACUGUUUACCAAAAACACAGGACUCUGCAGAAGCCGCAAGGCGACGUAUAGGGUCUGACGCCUGCCCGGUGCCGGAAGGUCACGCGGAGGAGUUAGCGCAUCGCGCGAAGCCCCGAAGCCAAGCCCCGGUAAACGGCGGCCGUAACUAUAACGGUCCUAAGGUAGCGAAAUUCCUUGUCGGGUAAGUUCCGACCUGCACGAAAGGCGCAACGACUUGGGCGCUGUCUCGACCAUGGACCCGGUGAAAUUGCACUGGUCGUGAAGAUGCGACUUACCCGCGGAAGGACGGAAAGACCCCGUGAACCUUCACUGCAGCUUGGCAUUGGCCGCUGGUCCCGCGUGUAGAGGAUAGGCAGGAGGCGAAGAUCCGGAGGCGCCAGCCCCCGGGGAGCCGCCCUUGGAAUACUGCCCUCGCGCGACCGGCGUCCUAACCCGAGGCCGUCAACCGGCUCGGGGACCGUGCCAGGCGGGCAGUUUGACUGGGGCGGUCGCCUCCUAAAGGGUAACGGAGGCGCGCGAAGGUCCGCUCGGGACGGUCGGCAACCGUCCUUUUGAAUGCAAGAGUACAAGCGGGCUUGACUGCGAGGCCCACAAGCCGAGCAGGUGCGAAAGCAGGCUCUAGUGAUCCGGCGG